RNAcentral lists this ribosomal RNA (253 nucleotides) under uncultured bacterium. RNAcentral describes it as "partial 16S ribosomal RNA". It matches the Rfam family "Bacterial small subunit ribosomal RNA", at positions 524 to 776 of the family's 1533-position model. The record is from RNAcentral.
UACGGAGGGUGCGAGCGUUGUCCGGAAUCACUGGGCGUAAAGAGCUUGUAGGCGGUUUGUCGCGUCUGCCGUGAAAAUCCGGGGCUCAACCCCGGACCUGCGGUGGGUACGGGCAGACUAGAGUGUGGUAGGGGAGACUGGAAUUCCUGGUGUAGCGGUGAAAUGCGCAGAUAUCAGGAGGAACACCGAUGGCGAAGGCAGGUCUCUGGGCCACUACUGACGCUGAGAAGCGAAAGCGUGGGGAGCGAACAGG